Folsomia candida is the source of this 1303-nucleotide long non-coding RNA. RefSeq lists it as uncharacterized. The transcript has 3 exons. The record is from RefSeq and is a predicted model, not a curated record. NCBI's taxonomy places the organism in Eukaryota, Metazoa, Arthropoda, Collembola, Entomobryomorpha, Isotomidae.
UCGAUCUUACAGUACCACAAACCAUGUAAUCCCCUUUAGUACCUGUAAAACUAAAAUUGUCAAAUAGUUUCGUGUGAGCUGGGUCGUUGGAACGGACGACACAUACUUUUAAAAGUAUGCUAUUGCGGAGGUAUAUCUCCGGAUUACUUAGUCUACAUUCAGGAGGGUGCAUGUUUCUGUGUGGCGUGGGGGGAUUUGCUGUUCGAAUAUUACGGCAAAGGUGAUUUUCUUUCUCCUCGAAACCAGAUUGAAGUGCAACCAGUGAUGACGAUGACUCAUCGGACCGGAAAAGAGAGGUACACUAUUAAAUCCAGAAGAUUGAGAGGAAAUAUUCUCCGUCUCCAGUUUCUUAUGUAUUUCGUACUCAAAUUUGUCCUUAUAAAAUGAGACCAUACAUUUCCCCUCGUCGUGAGGGGAGGGUGAAAGUGAGAGGGCGAGUGAACUGAAAUAUCAAAUUCGAAACAGGGCAGCUCCUUCCUUCCACACGCAGCAUUCACCUUUCUUGUGGUAUUUUCUCUCCCUCGUGAUCGUGAUAACUGCGUCCAAUCCAAAGCGUAUUGUGAAAGUUGCAUCCCGUCGUUCUGGGUGUAUUGUAAUAUUUGUGAGUAAUUUGAACACAAGGGUAAUUUUUUGCUUAAUCUUUUCGUAUGCCUAAUAAUAUGGACAAGUUAUAGGACAAAAUAUUUCACCUUACACGACAAACCAGGUUUCUCACAAUUCCGGAUGUUGCACCACUAUACACAUGACAAUGGCUUAUAUCUCACAAGAUGGAUUGAUUUAUGGUUGGCUUGAAAUUUGAUGGAAAAUUUAUGCUCCGUUUUGGCUUAUCUAAAAUUGAAAUUAAUGGUGGGUGACUGGGGAGGGGAAAUUAAACCUAAUAAAACAUUCCUGCAGGUUGUGGUUUGUUCUUGCAAAUAUAACAAUAUUAUGAAUUUUCUACUAACAGUUUGACAUAUAAAAUGAAUUUGCAUCCAAGUUGAAAUGAAGCCAAUCAAUCAAAUAUGUGACAAAAAUGAAACUUUGAGUAUUUUCACUUCAUUGCAUUCAUUGCACGAUGGCUAUGAUUGUUUAAUAAACAUCAUAUUAGGAUCUGUUUGAUGAAAAACUAAAAGGUUAAUUUGACAUUGAUUAGAAAAAAUAAUAAUAAUUUACCACGGGACAAUCAUCAUUAUACACUAGGGAAUUUAUGCUUACUUGCAUAUUUUAAAAUAGUGGAGAUAUCAUGACGCGAGUGAACAAAGUGGUCUUUGUUCAUGUUAAAUCCAGGUUACACCAUCUGCCAACAGUUCUCGUGAGUGUUGUG